Long non-coding RNA from Leptinotarsa decemlineata (Colorado potato beetle), 1194 nucleotides. RefSeq lists it as uncharacterized. Lineage: Eukaryota; Metazoa; Arthropoda; Insecta; Coleoptera; Chrysomelidae. The record is from RefSeq and is a predicted model, not a curated record.
UAAAACGAACAAAAUAAACAAUUGAUAUGGAAUUCAAAAAGCUGUCAGGUGGCUAUGAUUUACAGAGUAUUGUUGCAGACUACUCAGUGGAAUCCUAGAUCUGUGAAAAUAGAAAUUUAAAUUAUUGGUAGAUUACAAUCUACAAGUUAAAAUUGACAAAAAGGUUUUUUCAUGUUCAGAUUGCCUGGGAAACACUAAAAAUGAAAAGUGGAAAAAUGAAAUGUUACAGCACCCUUCUCCUUACAAAGAAAAGUUUGAUCUUCGAAUUUUUCGGUCAAAAUGGAGGUUGAAAACGAUUAGCAAGGCACCUCAUACUUGCAUCUCUGCGGACUAACUAACUAAACAUUCAUGUUCAUAAGCUGUUACUGGUUCCCCCCCCCCCCCCUCACAUCAAUUGGGGUGAAAUGGAGCUCCACCAAACCUCAGAAAUUCGAAGAUGUUCUCAUCUGUGAUACUGUGAAUAAUUCUUCAUUAGUGACGAAUCCAUAGAGUUGAGGAUUCUCCAGUAGUACCGCUGAACUGCCCGUGGUAGAGCUUCACUUGAUGACCGGCCUGACCUCCUUGAAUAGCCUAACACACCCCCCAAAGUCCACCCUUCCACGAAUUCUGCCUUAUAAGUGAAACCGUCGUGAAUUGACUAUGCUCGCACCUAACGCAAAAAAUGGGAAGGAAUUAAAAUGCAUGAUACCAAGUUGCCUUACAUUUGAUAUCUUAGCAGCUACUUCACAAUACUCUCUACGUAGGAUAGUGCAAGGUCUGAAAUACAUUUUAACAAACUACCUCAACGAAGCUUGAAAGAUCAUCACUCAAAACAGUUGCAUAGGUCAGUCGUCUACUCAAAAUUUGCAGCUUGAGCUCCAUAUAAAGCAAGUUUCCAUGAUGCUCACCCAAACAUUGUGAUUAGCCAUCCAGCUAUCAAAUCAGUACUGAAAGCUCCAUAUCAAACACACUCAGCAUUCGAAUAUCAACUGCCACAAGUUGCACUAUAAUUAAUACUUCAUGUGAAACGAAGCCUCUCUAGGAAGUGAGAUCCAUGGAAUAACCAAUAGUAUUCUGAAAUGAUAGAAGAAUUCUCAAAUACGAGUAUGGCUUUAAGUGCAAACAAGAUUGUGGAAAUUCAAAAUUUCCGAUGGUCAAGAAAAAUGCCUCCAAAAGGUUAUUUACGUCUUGAGGUACUUCUUCCCGUAUAUUACA